Molecule: ribosomal RNA, 253 nt
Filed under: uncultured bacterium
Lineage: Bacteria
Description: partial 16S ribosomal RNA
Rfam family: Bacterial small subunit ribosomal RNA
Source: RNAcentral
UACGAAGGGGGCUAGCGUUGCUCGGAAUCACUGGGCGUAAAGCGCACGUAGGCGGAUUCCUAAGUCGGGGGUGAAAUCCUGGAGCUCAACUCCAGAACUGCCUUCGAUACUGGGAAUCUUGAGUCCGGGAGAGGUGAGUGGAACUGCGAGUGUAGAGGUGAAAUUCGUAGAUAUUCGCAAGAACACCAGUGGCGAAGGCGGCUCACUGGACCGGUACUGACGCUGAGGUGCGAAAGCGUGGGGAGCAAACAGG